UGGCAGCCCCCCAGUGCAGCAUCCCGGCCUCAUUCCCAGGACCCUCAGGGGGAGCCUGAGCAUCCAGCCCACCCUGAGAAAACGUCAGAAGGAAAGUUUCUUUUCCAGCUGCACCCGAAGGAACACUUCUUACAUGAAUUUACCAACUUUGCUAGAUGUCCAUUUAAUAUAGAUGCAUAUGACGAGCAUGCAAAUUAUGACUGUCCGGCUCUAGCAGGUAAGGAAGCAACUCUGACUCUUCUAUUAUUACCAUCUCCCAAUUAGACUGAAACCCAAGUACCUGAAUGCAAUGCUUUCAGAAGUGACACGGGCCAGGCACCCUGGGAUGAUGAAAUGCCAGGCCCAUCUUAUUCUAAGUUAAAGCAAAUUCAUGCUUCUCCAUCUUCUGUUUUAAACACUUCUGGAAGCUCUGAUGAAGACCCUUCUGCAAACAUAACUGGGUUGCAGAUGUCACAACCAGCAAAAGUAGAAGCAACAGGCCCAAGAAAAGGGGGACGGAUUGUAUCAAAGAGGACCUGAAAUGCGUGGAUGUCACCCUGAAAAUGCGCUGGAUGGAGCCAAAUGGAGAAGACCCUGCCAUAACAUGGGAAGAGCACUUAGAAGAAGAGCAGCCUAUCCAACUGCGCAGCUUUAGUGCUGCUGAUGCUGGUUGAUCUGCAUUAACUUCCUCUGCUGGUUCCAGAGAUAGUCUGGCCAAUCAUAAGAAUAAUGAAUGUCUCUCCUCAGUGAGAAUAGAAGAUC
Non-coding RNA from Pseudonaja textilis, 741 nucleotides. NCBI's taxonomy places the organism in Eukaryota, Metazoa, Chordata, Lepidosauria, Squamata, Elapidae. The record is from RefSeq and is a predicted model, not a curated record.